GACGAACGCUGGCGGCGUGCUUAACACAUGCAAGUCGAGCGGAAAGACGCGGCGUUUGUUCCGUGCUCGUUUGGCGAGCGGGGGUGUGACACAUGAGUAACAUCCCCUUAUCUGUCUGGGAUCAUCACGGGAAUGGGGCGCAUACCGCAGAUAAUAUCCUGCUGCGUGGGGGGCAUUGGUAAAAGUCGGCUUUGGUGUCUCGACUAGAUGCUUCCGAGCCGCAUUAUCGGGUUGGUAAGGUACAGGCUUAUCAAGGCUACGAUGCGUGGCCGACCUGCGAGGGUGAUCGGCCACACUGGAACUGAGACACGGGCCAGACUCCUACGGGAGGCAGCAGUAGGGAAUCUUCCGCAAUGGGCGAAAGCCUGACGGAGCAACGCCGCGUGAGUGAUGAAGGUCUUCGGAUCGUAAAACUCUGUUAUUAGGGAAGAACAAAUGUGUAAGUAACUAUGCACGUCUUGACGGUACCUAAUCAGAAAGCCACGGCUAACUACGUG
Molecule: ribosomal RNA, 497 nt
Filed under: uncultured bacterium
Lineage: Bacteria
Description: partial 16S ribosomal RNA
Rfam family: Bacterial small subunit ribosomal RNA
Source: RNAcentral